AUUGAACGCUGGCGGCAUGCCUUACACAUGCAAGUCGAACGGCAGCACGGGAGCAAUCCUGGUGGCGAGUGGCGAACGGGUGAGUAAUAUAUCGGAACGUGCCCAGUCGUGGGGGAUAACGUAGCGAAAGCUACGCUAAUACCGCAUACGAUCUAUGGAUGAAAGCGGGGGAUCGCAAGACCUCGCGCGAUUGGAGCGGCCGAUAUCAGAUUAGGUAGUUGGUGAGGUAAAGGCUCACCAAGCCGACGAUCUGUAGCUGGUCUGAGAGGACGACCAGCCACACUGGGACUGAGACACGGCCCAGACUCCUACGGGAGGCAGCAGUGGGGAAUUUUGGACAAUGGGCGCAAGCCUGAUCCAGCAAUGCCGCGUGCAGGAUGAAGGCCUCGGUUGUAACGUG
RNAcentral lists this ribosomal RNA (400 nucleotides) under uncultured bacterium. Its description in RNAcentral is "bacterial SSU rRNA". It matches the Rfam family "Bacterial small subunit ribosomal RNA", at positions 30 to 432 of the family's 1533-position model. The record is from RNAcentral.